AAAAAACACAAUAUCCAAUCCCCUUAGCUACAAAUACAACAACACCAAAUUCCUUCAUCUAUCCCAUUCUACAACUCUUCAAAAAUCCUCAACAAAACAUUCCCUUUUUUCACAUAUAAAAAAAGCAAUCAACUUUCAACUCCCCAGCAGCUGAAAUCACUCAUUCACUCCUCUUUUUUCUUGAAAAUUUGAGGUGAUUCACUA
RNAcentral lists this unclassified non-coding RNA (204 nucleotides) under Hevea brasiliensis (rubber tree). Lineage: Eukaryota; Viridiplantae; Streptophyta; Magnoliopsida; Malpighiales; Euphorbiaceae. The record is from RNAcentral.